UUUUUUUUUUUUUUUUUACUCAAUAGAUGUGUUUGUUUGGGUAGACUUGUUUCGAGUAGGGAAAGAUUUAAGCUCUUCCCCUCCAACUAUCUCUUGCUACAGCUAUAUGCUAAGUUUUGUGUAAUAGUAGUGGUAGUUUUUACAAGUCAAAAAUAACCAGAGAAUCUCAAUGCGGAAUUAUUUUAAAAGGAACUUAUCCUAAGGUCUAAUCGGUCAAAAUCACACAAGCUUCCUCUUUAUGACAAUGCAACAACUGGAUCAUUAUUACCAUAGCAGUGAUGAAUGCCAAGCCGUGUGCUACUCGGUUUAUAAUAGUUUUCUCCUUAACUAUUCACAACUGUCCUCUGUGAUAGUUAUUAUGAUGUUUCCCACCAUUUUAUUUUAUUUUUUUAUUUUAUUUUGUCUUUUUAGGGCCGCACCCACAGCACAUGGAGGUUCCCAUAUGGAGGUUGAAUACGGCUAGCCUAUGCCAUAGCCUCAGCAACACCAGGUCCAAGCUGUGUCUGCGACCUACACCACAGCUCACAGCAACACCAGAUCUUUAACCCACUGAGUGCGGCCAGGGAUCGAACCUACAUCCUCAUGGACACUAAUCAGAUUCCUUUGCGCUGAGCUACAAUGUGUACUCCUAUAUCCCCCACUUUAGAAAGAAAAUGCCUCAGAAAUAUUGUUACCUUGCCCAAAGUCACACAGUCUAUAAGUAGCUGAGUCAAAAUUCCAAACAAACUCACCCAGACUCUCAACUAUUAAUCAGUAGAUCAGUGGUUCUGAAAGUGUGGUUUCUGAACUACUAGGGGGUCACUAGACUAUCUCAGGACUUCACAAGGUCCAAAGGAUAUUUAUAUUGAUGUUAAGAUAUCAUUUGCCUUUUUUUACUGAGUUAACACUUUCACUGAUGGUGCAGAAGUAAUCCUGGGUUAAAAUGAUGGUACCUUAGCAGGAACCAAGGCGGUAAAUUAGACUAAACUAGUAAUCAUUGCAUUUCAAACUCACAUACUGGUAGCAAAACAACAUCCAUUUCCCUUAAGAUUAUCCUUGAUGAAGUAGUAAAUGUUAUGAAUUUUAUUUAAUCUUGACUUUUGAAUGACAUUUUUUUAAAUUUUGUGUCAUCAAAUGUGAAUGACAAAGAAAGUGAUUCUUCUACCUAAGGAAAUGCAAUGGCUCUCUCAAAGAAAAAUGCUUAUAUGAUGGUGUUGUAAGCUGAACUAGAUGCUUUUUCGUAGAUGUCCAUUUUUAUCUGAUUAAAAAAAAAACCUGACAAACGAUGAUAUUUUAUACUUGGCUACUUGGUAGGCAGUUGUUCCCAAAUUGACAAAGUAAACCCGUCACAUCAAAAAGAACAACUGACACCACUUGUGACCUAUGGUCACAUUUGAUCUUUCAAGAAAAAAUUAGAAUUUUAGAAGACGGUGUUCACCACAGUGAGCUUGACAGCUUCCCAAUACUUAAAGAAUUUUACGACUAGAUAGGUGAUGAUAGUAAUAAAUGUGGUUUUUUGAUGUAGGAAAGUGUGUCAAUAGUUAGAAGAUCUAUAUAACUCAGUGAACCUACAUUUUCCAAAUGACCAACCCACGUUUUGACAAAAUCAUACGUGGGGAAAAGAGCAAAGGGCCAGCUACACCAGUGCCUUGUAAUGUCCCAGGUGAGAAAAGCUCCUGCCGUGGUUUCAGACUCCACAUUGCAGGUAAACUUUAAGACACUUCUACUUGAACAGCUUUCAUACAUCCGCAAUUAAGAAGAUAAUUAAAAUAUGACUACACCACCUCCCUUCAAAUUAUGUAUCUGUGUGUGGGAAUUUUUUUUUUCUGUACCUAAAAUCAUGUAUCUCUACAGACUGAAUGAAAAACAGAUAUGAGAAUCCAGCUCUCUACCAUUAAACCAGAGAAAUGUAACAUGAUGCUAAUCUUCUCAUUAAAUUCUAUUGAAAAAUAUUUUCAUACAACUGCGUUUUUUACGUUAACAUGUAACACAUUUACUGUUGCUUUUUGUUUUUGUUUUUUGCUUUUUAGAGCUGCAUCUGUGGCAUACAGAGGCUAGGGGUCGAAAUGGAGUUGCAGCUGCCACCUGCGCCACAGUCACAGCCACAGCAACACGGGAUCUGAGCUGUUUCUGCGACCUACACCACAGCUCACAGUAAUGCCAGAUCCCUGACCCACUGAGCGAGGCCAGAGAUCGAACCCACGUCUUUAUGGAUACUAGUCAGAUUCGUUGCCGCUGAGCCAUGAUGUGAACUUCCUACUGUUGUUAUUUCUAAGUGCAUUAAUAACUGUUCUGAAUUGUUCUGUAUUAUUUUAUUAAUACAUAUAAUACCCAUAAACAGAAGCUUAUUUGGGAGCCUCAGUAAUUUUAUAAGAAUAUAAAAGUGGACACCAAAUAUUCUGAGAACUGUUGUACUCAAUUAUCUCAACCCCUGCCAGAUGUAAGUUUCUAUAUCUUUGGUUGAAUACUUCCAGUGAUGGUAACUUCUACUACCUCUUAAGAAAUUUCAUCAUAUUUUAAAACCAAUUGGUAGUUCCCACUGUGAUGCAGCGGAAACAAAUCAGACUAGUAUCCAUGAGAAUGUGGGUACAAUCCCUGGCCUCACUCAGUGAGUUGAGGAUCUGGCAUUGCUAUUAGCUAUGGUAUAGGAUGCAGAUGUACCUGGGAUCCCAUGUUGCUGUGGCUGUGGUGUCGGCUGUUACCUAUAACUCUGUUUCAAACCCUAGCCUGGGAACGCCUAUAUGCUGCCAUGGCCCUAAACAUCAAAAAUAAAAUUAAAAUAAUAGAAUAGAAUAGAACCAAUCAAAUUAUAACUUUGACUUCUAUCCAUUGGUCGUGGUACCACUGAAAUCACAUAAAGAAUAGCUAAUCCCUCUGUUUUAAGACAGACCUUAAAAACUGUAAGACUCUUAAAGUAUUAAUUUAAAAAUAAGCUAUGAAUCCACCAAUCUGUACUUUCAUCUAACAUUUAUUUCUCUAUCUUAUUCAUAAGGAUACGGAGAGAUUUUAUCAAUCGUCUCUCCAAAAUGCAGUCAAACAAGGAAACAAUUUUUUCCUCAUCUGCCUGUGAAGGAAUCCUAGGGAAGAGAAUUAUGAAGUAAGUCUGCUACCAUGUCUUCUCAGAGAUGCCAUGCUGGUUCCUGGAAAUAUAACUUCUUUCACUAAUUGCUCACAAGCCACCCAUGCUUGAAGCUUGAAUGAGAUCUGACAUACUUACCAGAAAACUAUAGCAACCAAAACAAACAAAAAAAUUAUACCUGACCAAGUACUUACGAAUCUAAGUUAUAUUUUGUGCAUGUGAAUGUAUAUGAUACAGCUUACUGCAGCAUCAUCUUUAAUUAGACUGUUGAGGAAAACACUAGCCUUAGAAGUAAGCACACCUUGCUUUGCCUUCAUCUUGGCCAUAUAUAGAUUUUUUUCUGAUUUUAAGUUCUCUUAAUUUUUUUAAAAAAAUCUUGAAUUAGGAGUUCCCAUUGUGGCUCACUGGGUUAAGAACCCGAUGCAGUGUGUCCAUGAGGAUGCAGGUUUAAUCCUUGCCUCGCUCGGUGAGUUAAGGAUCCAGCAUUAUCACAACCUGUGGCAUAGAUCACAAAUGCAGCUUGUAUCUGUUGUUGCUGUGGCUGUGGCAAAGGCCUCGGCUGCAGCUCCAGUUCAACCCC
Molecule: long non-coding RNA, 3638 nt
Filed under: Sus scrofa (pig)
Lineage: Eukaryota; Metazoa; Chordata; Mammalia; Artiodactyla; Suidae
Description: lncRNA (ENSSSCG00000054637.1)
Source: RNAcentral